Molecule: ribosomal RNA, 933 nt
Filed under: Micrococcus luteus
Lineage: Bacteria; Bacillati; Actinomycetota; Actinomycetes; Micrococcales; Micrococcaceae
Description: bacterial SSU rRNA
Rfam family: Bacterial small subunit ribosomal RNA
Source: RNAcentral
AGGANAAGNNGUUUGNNUCCCCUGCUCAGGAGUGAACGCUGGCGGCGUAGCUUAACAUUUGCACGUGGCACGAUGAAGCCCANNAGCUUGUUGGGUGGGUUAGUGUUGAACGGGUGAGUAACACGUGAGUAACCUGCCCUUGACUCUGGGAUAAGCCUGGGAAACUGGGUCUAAUACCGGAUAGGAACGUCCACCGCAUGGUGGGUGUUGGAAAGAUUUAUCGGUCAUGGAUGGACUCGCGGCCUAUCAGCUUGUUGGUGAGGUAAUGGCUCACCAAGGCGACGACGGGUAGCCGGCCUGAGAGGGUGACCGGCCACACUGGGACUGAGACACGGCCCAGACUCCUACGGGAGGCAGCAGUGGGGAAUAUUGCACAAUGGGCGAAAGCCUGAUGCAGCGACGCCGCGUGAGGGAUGACGGCCUUCGGGUUGUAAACCUCUUUCAGUAGGGAAGAAGCGAAAGUGACGGUACCUGCAGAAGAAGCACCGGCUAACUACGUGCCAGCAGCCGCGGUAAUACGUAGGGUGCGAGCGUUAUCCGGAAUUAUUGGGCGUAAAGAGCUCGUAGGCGGUUUGUCGCGUCUGUCGUGAAAGUCCGGGGCUUAACCCCGGAUCUGCGGUGGGUACGGGCAGACUAGAGUGCAGUAGGGGAGACUGGAAUUCCUGGUGUAGCGGUGGAAUGCGCAGAUAUCAGGAGGAACACCGAUGGCGAAGGCAGGUCUCUGGGCUGUAACUGACGCUGAGGAGCGAAAGCAUGGGGAGCGAACAGGAUUAGAUACCCUGGUUUUUUUUCCAUGCCCCCGUUAACNGUUGGGCACUAGGUGUGGGGACCGGGUUCCAUGGUUUCCGCGCCGCAGCUCANAAACGCAAUUAAGAAUGCCGCGGCUAGUGGAGUACGGCCGCAAGGCUAAAACUCAAAUNNGNAAUNNACGGG